RNAcentral lists this unclassified non-coding RNA (271 nucleotides) under uncultured fungus. RNAcentral describes it as "partial contains 5.8S rRNA and ITS2". Lineage: Eukaryota; Fungi. The record is from RNAcentral.
AACGCAACUUGCACUCAUCUUCGGGUGAGUAUGCCUGUUUGAGAAUCUAUUGUAUCUCUUAUCCUGGAUCCUCGGAUGCAGGGUAGAUUUGAGACGUCCCUCGCCAGAGGGUGUCUUUGAAGCGAUUGCUGGCUAGACUGCAACCAAGUGUUUGAAUAGAACCCAGUUCUUUACUGCACGGCGGAAGCUUUUGCGGCAGCCCACCACUAGCCUCUCGCAAGAGAGUCUGAACCAUGGUCUCAAAUCAGGUAGGAGGACCCGCUGAACUUAA